RNAcentral lists this ribosomal RNA (518 nucleotides) under Bacillus sp. (in: firmicutes). RNAcentral's name for it is "bacterial SSU rRNA". It matches the Rfam family "Bacterial small subunit ribosomal RNA", at positions 39 to 535 of the family's 1533-position model. Lineage: Bacteria; Bacillati; Bacillota; Bacilli; Caryophanales; Bacillaceae. The record is from RNAcentral.
GGGCAGUGCGGGGUGCUAUACAUGCAGUCGAGCGGACAGAAGGGAGCUUGCUCCCGGAUGUUAGCGGCGGACGGGUGAGUAACACGUGGGUAACCUGCCUGUAAGACUGGGAUAACUCCGGGAAACCGGAGCUAAUACCGGAUAGUUCCUUGAACCGCAUGGUUCAAGGAUGAAAGACGGUUUCGGCUGUCACUUACAGAUGGACCCGCGGCGCAUUAGCUAGUUGGUGAGGUAACGGCUCACCAAGGCGACGAUGCGUAGCCGACCUGAGAGGGUGAUCGGCCACACUGGGACUGAGACACGGCCCAGACUCCUACGGGAGGCAGCAGUAGGGAAUCUUCCGCAAUGGACGAAAGUCUGACGGAGCAACGCCGCGUGAGUGAUGAAGGUUUUCGGAUCGUAAAGCUCUGUUGUUAGGGAAGAACAAGUGCAAGAGUAACUGCUUGCACCUUGACGGUACCUAACCAGAAGGCCGCGGCUAACUACCUGCCAGCAUCUCGCAGUAAUACGUAGGUGGC